This 520-nucleotide ribosomal RNA is filed under the name uncultured Glomus. Its description in RNAcentral is "SSU rRNA". It matches the Rfam family "Eukaryotic small subunit ribosomal RNA", at positions 569 to 1091 of the family's 1831-position model. Lineage: Eukaryota; Fungi; Glomeromycota; Glomeromycetes; Glomerales; Glomeraceae. The record is from RNAcentral.
AGCAGCCGCGGUAAUUCCAGCUCCAAUAGCGUAUAUUAAAGUUGUUGCAGUUAAAAAGCUCGUAGUUGAAUUUCGGGAUCAGUUCGUCGGUCGUGCCUUUGGUAUGUACUGGUGUUACUGGUUCCUCCCUUCUGACGAACCGUCAUGUCAUUAAUUUGGUGUGGCGGGAAAUCAGGACUGUUACUUUGAAAAAAUUAGAGUGUUUAAAGCAGGCUCGCGCUUGAAUACAUUAGCAUGGAAUAAUGAAAUAGGACGUUCGAUCCUAUUUUGUUGGUUUCUAGGAUUGACGUAAUGAUUAAUAGGGAUAGUUGGGGGCAUUAGUAUUCAAUUGUCAGAGGUGAAAUUCUUGGAUUUAUUGAAGACUAACUACUGCGAAAGCAUUUGCCAAGGAUGUUUUCAUUAAUCAAGAACGAAAGUUAGGGGAUCGAAGACGAUCAGAUACCGUCGUAGUCUUAACCAUAAACUAUGCCGACUAGGGAUCGGAUGAUGUUAAUUUUUAAUGACUCAUUCGGCGCCUUAA